Molecule: ribosomal RNA, 515 nt
Filed under: uncultured bacterium
Lineage: Bacteria
Description: partial 16S ribosomal RNA
Rfam family: Bacterial small subunit ribosomal RNA
Source: RNAcentral
GAUGAACGCUGGCGGCGUGCCUAAUACAUGCAAGUCGAGCGAAUGGAUUAAGAGCUUGCUCUUAUGAAGUUAGCGGCGGACGGGUGAGUAACACGUGAGUAACCUGCCCAUAAGACUGGGAUAACUCCGGGAAACCGGGGCUAAUACCGGAUAACAUUUUGAACCGCAUGGUUCGAAAUUGAAAGGCGGCUUCGGCUGUCACUUAUGGAUGGACCCGCGUCGCAUUAGCUAGUUGGUGAGGUAACGGCUCACCAAGGCAACGAUGCGUAGCCGACCUGAGAGGGUGGUCGGCCACACUGGGACUGAGACACGGCCCAGACUCCUACGGGAGGCAGCAGUAGGGAAUUUUCCGCAAUGGACGAAAGUCUGACGGAGCAACGCCGCGUGAGUGAUGAAGGCUUUCGGGUCGUAAAACUCUGUUGUUAGGGAAGAACAAGUGCUAGUUGAAUAAGCUGGCACCUUGACGGUACCUAACCAGAAAGCCACGGCUAACUACGUGCCAGCCGCCGCGGUAA